GCGGACGGGUGAGUAACGCGUGGGUAACCUGCCCUGUACACGCGGAUAACAUACCGAAAGGUAUGCUAAUACGAGAUAAAAUACUUUUAUCGCAUGGUAGAAGUAUCAAAGCUUUUGCGGUACAGGAUGGACCCGCGUCUGAUUAGCUAGUUGGUAAGGUAACGGCUUACCAAGGCGACGAUCAGUAGCCGACCUGAGAGGGUGAUCGGCCACAUUGGAACUGAGACACGGUCCAAACUCCUACGGGAGGCAGCAGUGGGGAAUAUUGCACAAUGGGCGAAAGCCUGAUGCAGCAACGCCGCGUGAGCGAUGAAGGCCUUCGGGUCGUAAAGCUCUGUCCUCAAGGAAGAUAAUGACGGUACUUGAGGAGGAAGCCCCGGCUAACUACGUGCCAGCAGCCGCGGUAAUACGUAGGGGGCUAGCGUUAUCCGGAAUUACUGGGCGUAAAGGGUGCGUAGGUGGUUUCUUAAGUCAGAGGUGAAAGGCUACGGCUCAACCGUAGUAAGCCUUUGAAACUGGGAAACUUGAGUGCAGGAGAGGAGAGUGGAAUUCCUAGUGUAGCGGUGAAAUGCGUAGAUAUUAGGAGGAACACCAGUUGCGAAGGCGGCUCUCUGGACUGUAACUGACACUGAGGCACGAAAGCGUGGGGAGCAAACAGGAUUAGAUACCCUGGUAGUCCACGCCGUAAACGAUGAGUACUAGCUGUCGGAGGUUACCCCCUUCGGUGGCGCAGCUAACGCAUUAAGUACUCCGCCUGGGAAGUA
RNAcentral lists this ribosomal RNA (764 nucleotides) under uncultured bacterium. Its description in RNAcentral is "bacterial SSU rRNA". It matches the Rfam family "Bacterial small subunit ribosomal RNA", at positions 98 to 882 of the family's 1533-position model. The record is from RNAcentral.